Molecule: ribosomal RNA, 445 nt
Filed under: uncultured bacterium
Lineage: Bacteria
Description: bacterial SSU rRNA
Rfam family: Bacterial small subunit ribosomal RNA
Source: RNAcentral
GCUUCCUACGGGAGGCAGCAGUAGGGAAUCUUCCGCAAUGGGCGAAAGCCUGACGGAGCAACGCCGCGUGAGUGAUGAAGGCCUUCGGGUUGUAAAACUCUGUCUUCUGUGAAGAACCAUCCUGUGCAGAGAAAGCUCAGGACCUGACGGUAACAGAGGAGGAAGCCCCGGCUAACUACGUGCCAGCAGCCGCGGUAAUACGUAGGGGGCAAGCGUUGUCCGGAAUCACUGGGCGUAAAGCGCGCGCAGGCGGUCUUUCACGUCCGGGGUGAAAGCCCAGAGCUCAACUCUGGGAUUGCCUUGGAUACGGGGAGACUUGAGGAUCGGAGAGGCAAGGGGAAUUCCACGUGUAGCGGUGAAAUGCGUAGAGAUGUGGAGGAACACCUGUGGCGAAGGCGCCUUGCUGGCCGAUUUCUGACGCUGAGGCGCGAAAGCGUGGGGAAGC